AACAAUAGUAAAUAGUAUUUAUAUAGUGCAAACAACGCUCAAGACGCCUUACAGAUAUGAAUGGUCUCUAAAGAGUUUUAACUCUUUAUUUAAAAAUACAACGAAAUGAAAUACUCUGUAUGUCAUACAGUACAUGUACGUACCAACAAACCAAUUGACUCCCUCGUGAGUUGAGUACUAUUUUAUUUUUAUUUUUAAUUUGUACAUGAGCUAUGAUUGAUAUCAGGAUGAGAAUUUCAAUCAAAAAUGGCCGCCAUUUGAUGUGGAUGUUGAACAUUCCAAUGUUAAGUUUCAUUGCAAUACAUUACUUCCAAGCCAAUGAAAGUGCAUUGACAAAGUUUUUCUCAGUCUUAUAACUAUCUCAACAUUUCUGUAAGCUUUAAUAUUCCUAUGGAAUUUGCUUAUUUGAUUUGAAAAAGAGAAGGGGUGUGGUAUAGUGUAAGUUUAGUUUGUUGCCUCAACCUUAUUUGUAUAUCUAUGAAUAAUGCUUUUAGUAUGGAUUGAAACUUUUUGCGCCUACUUGGGCAAACAAUUUGAAAUGUAAUGGUUUGGUUUUAGCGCUAAUGUACUGAAAUGUUUUUUUUUCAUGCAAACCUUGCAAGAAUGUAAGGGGGAAAUUGUGUUCUCCUAAGUAUAAGAACAAAGUUUUAUCAGCCAUUUUGUUUUACUAUUUAUUGCCUUGAUGUACAAAUCAGUACAAAUGGUGAUUGUCAAUGAUUUGGUCUCUGUUGGAAGAUUUGUUUAUUUACCCCCAUAAACUCUCAACCGAAGCUUGUAGAGUCAAUUUCUGUGCCACAAGUAACACAUGGCCAUUUUUUUGUAACAAAAUGGUAAGUGCGUCGGUAUCAUGGUGUGGUUUGAGUUAGGUUUUAACUAUUACUUAUUUGCCGUUGGCAUCUACUCAUAACAAAAUAAACAAAAAGAGUUCAGUGGUUACACACCUAUGUUCUGACACCCAUAUGUUUGGACGCCCCUAGUGUGUUUUCCUAAUCCUAACCCCAACCCUAUGACCCCAACCCUAACCCUAGCAUGUAAAUCACGAGGGGUUGUGGGAACAUACAUAAGGUUGUCGGAAUAUCGGUAUGUUGGAAUCUAGAGCAGUCGCCGAGUUCAUGUCACCAUGGUUAUGGUAAAGACAAGGGACUGGAGUUUACAAAUAGAGACUUCGUUACACUGAGGUCACUACUGUCUUCCCAUGGCCUGCCAUUUUGGGAGUCAAAGUACAUUUGAGAUGCUGCGUGCGUAGCCUAAACACACACUGCACAGUAAUACACAUGGAGCCUAAAUAUGCACUGCACAGUAUAAACAUACAGUGAUCUUAUUUCCAACAUGGCUCGUCUGCUCUGGGUAGAAAGGACUUAAGAAAGAAAAAGUCAGUAGAAAGACCCAGUCUGCUCAUAGCAUUGAUUUAUGCCUUAAACCCAGUAACUGCUCCUGCACCUGCGAGCUGUCACAUCACAGUAUAAUAAUGACUGCAUCCUUUGUGAUGUGACGGCCACUGCAGGUACAUCUGUAGUAUGGUAACUGGCAUUAGGGUUCAUCAUCUUAUGUAAGCCACUGUCCUGCUGUGAUCAUGACGACAAUCCCUCGUAACAAUUUGAUGAGCAAAUCAUUAAAAGAAAAACGUUUGAAAGCAUUUCCUAUGUUGUUAAAUUAGGCAUACAUAACAUGGUAACAUUGCAUCAAACUUAUUAACAGGAUUAUAUUUAACACUUAUAAUUUUGCUUUGUACCAUCCUAGAGAAAGGACCCUUUCUCUAUGGUACCAUGUGUUAAGCACUGUGUACUCAGAUCAGUGCUUAAAAAAAGAACCUCCUUCAGGAAAAACAUGCACAGGCAUACUACUCAAGCCAACAGUCAUGAAGUGUCACUAAAUUGGACAGCACCAUAUGAUUUAUUUACAACCAAAGCUGCCUAUUGGUUUGUCAUUGUGUAACAGCUCUUUUGUGACUGCCCUCUUGCGAAACUGCUUCUCUUUUGAUACUGCUGCUUCAGCAAGAUACUGCUGCUUCAGCAAGAGUUCUGCUUUCAUGACUACUGCCAGAUCCAGCAUUUUCGUGAGUGCGGUUACAGUCAUAUGGAGCCAUUACGCUGCUACUGCAACAAACAUUAAUGACUUGUCCACAAAUCUGCACUUACCAUAAACAUUACCGGGUACACAUAAUUAGAUCAAAAGUACUUACAUAAAGAGCUAUUAUCUGUGAUUUUGUUGUGUUUUGUUAGUUUCUUCACAGACUGUGAUUACUUUCAACAGUAGCCAUAAUUAGGCAAUCACUUUUUAAUUCAUUCAAAUAUAUAUUAGAUAAUAUGUAUUCAAUUUUACUAUAAGGUGUUAUAUAAUAUUAUCUAACAUGUCUAACUACAAAAUAGUGUAAGAAUAGGAAAAUUGUGAUUUUUCCUUCUUUGAUGAUGCUUCAGUACUUUUAAGUUCGUACAACAUUAAAAAGGGUCUGAAUGUUUGGACUCAUGUCAGUCAUGAUAUCAAUGUAGCCAAUGAAUACAUUCAAUUCAUUUCAAAGAGAGAUGUUUGGCCUUUUAACUGACUUAACUUCAAUGUGAUUGGUUGAUGGUGAGCACAACACACACACACACAAGUGUGUAAACACCUGCAAUCAUGGACCCUCCUUUGUUCAACUUUUUAUGAUAGCAACCGGGGACCAUAAUGAUUUCCUUUGCGAUAGCAACCGUGGACCCAUUGUCUCUUUUGUUACAGGUCCCCGGUUUGAAUGUGGAUACCUACCCACGCACACACAGCUGUGUUUAUGGUGUAAACCGAGGACUUCUCUUGGUUCUCCCAUUGUUUGGACAUAGUUUAUCUUUCAGACGUCCCCAUUGGUUUUGUACACGUCUUCGGUGUGACUUUUUCCCGGAUCCCUUUUGUUAAAGUCCUCGGUUAUCAAUAGUAGACAUACCCACUCCAGAGGUACAGCACACCUACAAUAUCUGUUAGAGGACACCUAUUGUUCUUUCUGUUGUUUUUGUAUUGAAGCAAUCCCCAUUGGUUGUGUACACAAAUGACUAGUGAGGACCCAUGAAAACAUGUUCUUGGAGGGUAGGCGGCCAUAAGAACACACUAUUCUGUAAACUAACAUGGCAGGGUUUCAUAUAACAUGUGUGUUGUUAGCAAAGUGGAGUGGUCCCCUGUCUUUAUCCUAAAUCAGGAUUAAUUUGCAGACCAAGAUUUUAAUGGUCAAGAUUACACGCAUUUCUUUCGCAAUGUUUUUGUUACAACUAUAACAACUUACGGUAAAAAAUAACAUACAUGUAGGGCUAGAAAGCUCAGUUGGUAAAGCGCCUGCACAUAAAAAAAGGUGUCCAAACGGGGAGCAAGUAUUUGUCAAUAUUUAUUUACCAAACUUAAAACCCUCACAAGUUGCUACUUGUAAAUGGGUCUCAAAUUUAAAACAUAGCUCUGCAUAGCUAUUGGACAAAUUAGUGCUUUGAGACGCCAGUUGUGCUUAAUUUUGUUUUGCUUUUUUCAUAUCAUGGCAUCUUAAAGUUUGUCGUGGGAUAAUGGAGUAGCUUUUUAAAGCACAGUUGUGAUAGUAACCUUUUGAUGAGCUAUUUAUUCUAAAAGCUGUGUAAUAUGUGGUAGGUAAAAAUUGUUAUUUUUUUUUAAAUUGUGACUUUGCCAGACAGCCAGCCAGAACGAGAAAUGCUUUCUUGUAAUUAUUUUAAUUCUUGAGAAGGAUUUAACCAUGUAUUAUUGAUUAUAUUUUUAAUAUAAAUAUUAAUUUAAUUUGGGAAUUUGCCUUAAUAAGGACAUAACUACGCAGAGGUAGUACUAAGAAUUUGGUUAAAUUUUGUUGAUAUUUCCUAGUUAUUACAGUAUCAAACUCCUAUUUAAAUUCUGUAUCAUGUAUUUUUUUAUAUUUGCCAAACCUAUUCCUGUCAAGAAGUGUACGUUAUAAAUUUAAUGAUAAAAUUCAAAAAUUAUUUCAAUGAUAUUCUAAGCGCCACGUAGGUCGACAACAAAUAAAGUUGCAAAACAUUAUUUUAAAAUUUA
This is a long non-coding RNA of Asterias rubens (European starfish), 4005 nucleotides long. RefSeq lists it as uncharacterized. The record is from RefSeq and is a predicted model, not a curated record. NCBI's taxonomy places the organism in Eukaryota, Metazoa, Echinodermata, Asteroidea, Forcipulatida, Asteriidae. The transcript is spliced from 2 exons.